This 1135-nucleotide ribosomal RNA is filed under the name Neoscytalidium hyalinum. RNAcentral describes it as "LSU rRNA". It matches the Rfam family "Eukaryotic large subunit ribosomal RNA", at positions 74 to 1049 of the family's 3401-position model. Lineage: Eukaryota; Fungi; Ascomycota; Dothideomycetes; Botryosphaeriales; Botryosphaeriaceae. The record is from RNAcentral.
AUUGCCUCAGUAACGGCGAGUGAAGCGGCAACAGCUCAAAUUUGAAAGCUGGCCCCCCCGGGGGUCCGCGUUGUAAUUUGUAGAGGAUGAUUCGGCGAGGGCUCCCGCCUAAGUCCCCUGGAACGGGGCGUCAUAGAGGGUGAGAAUCCCGUAUGCGGUGGGCUGCCUUAGCCAUGUGAAUCUCCUUCGACGAGUCGAGUUGUUUGGGAAUGCAGCUCUAAAUGGGAGGUAAAUUUCUUCUAAAGCUAAAUACCGGCCAGAGACCGAUAGCGCACAAGUAGAGUGAUCGAAAGAUGAAAAGCACUUUGGAAAGAGAGUUAAAAAGUACGUGAAAUUGUUGAAAGGGAAGCGCUUGCAGCCAGACUUGUCCGCAGUUGCUCAGCCGGUCUCCUGACCGGCGCACUCUUCUGCGGCCAGGCCAGCAUCAGUUCGGGCGGUCGGAUAAAGGCCCCGGGAACGUAGCUCCUCUCGGGGAGUGUUAUAGCCCGGGGUGGAAUGCGGCCAGCCUGGACUGAGGAUCUCGCUUCGGCUAGGAUGCUGGCGUAAUGGCUGUAAGCGGCCCGUCUUGAAACACGGACCAAGGAGUCUAACAUCUAUGCGAGUGUUUGGGUGUCAAACCCAUGCGCGUAAUGAAAGUGAACGGAGGUGGGAACCCUCGCGGGUGCACCAUCGACCGAUCCUGAUGUCUUCGGAUGGAUUUGAGUAAGAGCAUAGCUGUUGGGACCCGAAAGAUGGUGAACUAUGCCUGAAUAGGGUGAAGCCAGAGGAAACUCUGGUGGAGGCUCGCAGCGGUUCUGACGUGCAAAUCGAUCGUCAAAUUUGGGUAUAGGGGCGAAAGACUAAUCGAACCAUCGACUACUAGGUGGUUAAGAGGUGGCUGAAAGUGCCCACCUAGUCCCCCCGUCCUCGGACGGGGGGGCGACAUCGCCAAAUUGCGGGGACUCCCUUAGAGCCUCUACUACCGCGGCCGGCCGAAAGGCGCGGUGCAGCACCGGGUUAAUUGCCUAGGGUACGGUAAAAAGGUAGAGGAUUGGGAAAUCCGCAGCCAAGCGCCUAAGUCCCGCGGGAUACGGCGAAGGUUCAGAGACUAGAUGGCGGUGGGUCCGGCCCGAGGGCCGGGCCUAAGGUAUAGUCC